UGGGGAAUUUUGGACAAUGGGGGCAACCCUGAUCCAGCCAUGCCGCGUGCGGGAAGAAGGCCUUCGGGUUGUAAACCGCUUUUGUCAGGGAAGAAAUGUCCCUGGGUUAAUACCCUGGGGGGAUGACGGUACCUGAAGAAUAAGCACCGGCUAACUACGUG
Molecule: ribosomal RNA, 161 nt
Filed under: uncultured Alcaligenes sp.
Lineage: Bacteria; Pseudomonadati; Pseudomonadota; Betaproteobacteria; Burkholderiales; Alcaligenaceae
Description: partial 16S ribosomal RNA
Rfam family: Bacterial small subunit ribosomal RNA
Source: RNAcentral